Molecule: ribosomal RNA, 253 nt
Filed under: uncultured bacterium
Lineage: Bacteria
Description: partial 16S ribosomal RNA
Rfam family: Bacterial small subunit ribosomal RNA
Source: RNAcentral
UACGGAGGAUGCAAGCGUUAUCCGGAUUUAUUGGGUUUAAAGGGUGCGUAGGCUGUUUGAUAAGUCAGUGGUGAAAGUCUGCAGCUUAACUGUAGAAUUGCCAUUGAUACUGUCAGACUUGAGUUCGGUUGAGGUAGGCGGAAUGUGUAAUGUAGCGGUGAAAUGCUUAGAUAUUACACAGAACACCAAUUGCGUAGGCAGCUUACUAAGCCGUUACUGACGCUGAGGCACGAAAGCGUGGGGAGCGAACAGG